Molecule: transfer RNA, 61 nt
Filed under: Trichuris mastomysi
Lineage: Eukaryota; Metazoa; Nematoda; Enoplea; Trichinellida; Trichuridae
Description: tRNA-Trp
Source: RNAcentral
AUAACUUUAAGUUAAAGAAACUGUAAACCUUCAAAGUUUAAAAUGAUAUUAUCAAGUUAUC